Molecule: long non-coding RNA, 482 nt
Filed under: Anas platyrhynchos platyrhynchos (common mallard)
Lineage: Eukaryota; Metazoa; Chordata; Aves; Anseriformes; Anatidae
Description: lncRNA (ENSAPLG00000022422.1)
Source: RNAcentral
CCAAAUUCUGAAUUUCAUAGUACUUGCAUGAUUUUUGAGUUGCUUUUAAAUAUUGCUUUCCCUAUGAUACCCUUUUCUUGCAUAAUUCACAUUCUCAGCUUGCAAUUUCAUCAACUACAGGAUAAGACAUGAAGAAGGUCCAGAGAUCCCAAGAUACAUACACCAAGCUACAUUUGAAGGUCCCGUGUUUGACAGAGCAGGAGAGCUGUUUAAACGCAUUGAAAUACGCAAUAAUCAAAUCCUAACAUCGGAUUCCUUCAGAACCUGUGCACUGACCACGUAACUGUUAAUACUUGAUGACCAGGACUUCACCUGGUGUGUUGUGUCCUUGUGACUACUGAACUCACCAGAGGUGUGUAACUCUUUCUUGGAUUUCUUCUUAAGCAUUUCAUUUGUCUGACUUCAACACAAAUGGUGUGUGAUCAUCAUCAAUCUUGAUGUUAUCAGAGAACGUUUUUGUCAACAGGGCUUCAACUUCAAAU